This 491-nucleotide ribosomal RNA is filed under the name uncultured bacterium. RNAcentral describes it as "partial 16S ribosomal RNA". It matches the Rfam family "Bacterial small subunit ribosomal RNA", at positions 29 to 507 of the family's 1533-position model. The record is from RNAcentral.
GUGAACGCUGGCGGUAGGCCUAACACAUGCAAGUCGAACGGCAGCACAGUAAGAGCUUGCUCUUACGGGUGGCGAGUGGCGGACGGGUGAGGAAUACAUCGGAAUCUACUUUUUCGUGGGGGAUAACGUAGGGAAACUUACGCUAAUACCGCAUACGACCUACGGGUGAAAGCAGGGGAUCUUCGGACCUUGCGCGAGUGAAUGAGCCGAUGUCGGAUUAGCUAGUUGGCGGGGUAAAGGCCCACCAAGGCGACGAUCCGUAGCUGGUCUGAGAGGAUGAUCAGCCACACUGGAACUGAGACACGGUCCAGACUCCUACGGGAGGCAGCAGUGGGGAGUAUUGGACAAUGGGCGCAAGCCUGAUCCAGCCAUACCGCGUGGGUGAAGAAGGCCUUCGGGUUGUAAAGCCCUUUUGUUGGGAAAGAAAAGCAGCAGGUUAAUACCCCGCUGUUCUGACGGUACCCAAAGAAUAAGCACCGGCUAACUUCGUG